This 446-nucleotide ribosomal RNA is filed under the name uncultured bacterium. RNAcentral's name for it is "partial 16S ribosomal RNA". It matches the Rfam family "Bacterial small subunit ribosomal RNA", at positions 338 to 795 of the family's 1533-position model. The record is from RNAcentral.
CCUACGGGGGACAGCAGUCGAGAAUCAUUCACAAUGGGGGAAACCCUGAUGCUGCGACGCCGCGUGGGGGAAUGAAGGUCUUCGGAUUGUAAACCCCUGUCAUGUGGGAGCAAAUUAAAAAGAUAGUACCACAAGAGGAAGAGACGACUAACUCUGUGCCAGCAGCCGCGGUAAUACGUAGGUCUCAAGCGUUGUUCGGAAUCACUGGGCGUAAGGGGUGCGUAGGCGGUUUCGUAAGUCAUGUGUGAAAGGCGCGGGCUCAACCCGGGGACGGCAUAUGAUACUGCGAGACUAGAGUAAUGGAGGGGGAAGCGGAAUUCUCGGUGUAGCAGUGAAAUGCGUAGAUAUCGGGAGGAACACCAGUGGCGAAGGCGGGUUCCUGGACAUUAACUGACGCUGAGGCACGAAGGCCAGGGGAGCGAACGGGAUUAGAUACCCCUGUAGUC